This 247-nucleotide ribosomal RNA is filed under the name uncultured bacterium. RNAcentral describes it as "partial 16S ribosomal RNA". It matches the Rfam family "Bacterial small subunit ribosomal RNA", at positions 523 to 765 of the family's 1533-position model. The record is from RNAcentral.
UAGCGAAGGGGGCUAGCGUUGUUCGGAAGUUACUGGGCGUAAAGCGGCGCGCAGGCGGUCUUCCAAGUCAGUGGUGAAAGCCCGGAGCUCAACUCCGGAACUGCCAUUGAAACUGUGAGGACUCGAGUCCGAUAGAGGUGAGUGGAAUUCCUAGUGUAGAGGUGAAAUUCGUAGAUAUUAGGAAGAACACCAGUGGCGAAGGCGGCUCACGUGGAUCGGUACUGACGCUGAGGUGCGAAAGCGUGGG